AUACGGAGGGUGCGAGCGUUAAUCGGAAUUACUGGGCGUAAAGCGUACGUAGGCGGUUGGGUAAGUUAGAUGUGAAAGCCCCGGGCUUAACCUGGGAACUGCAUUUAAAACUGGCGAACUAGAGUUGAGUAGAGGGGAGUGGAAUUUCAGGUGUAGCGGUGAAAUGCGUAGAGAUCUGAAGGAACACCAGUGGCGAAGGCGACUCCCUGGACUCGAACUGACGCUGAGGUACGAAAGCGUGGGUAGCAAACGGGAUUAGAAACCCCAGUAGUCC
RNAcentral lists this ribosomal RNA (274 nucleotides) under uncultured bacterium. Its description in RNAcentral is "partial 16S ribosomal RNA". It matches the Rfam family "Bacterial small subunit ribosomal RNA", at positions 523 to 796 of the family's 1533-position model. The record is from RNAcentral.